Molecule: ribosomal RNA, 526 nt
Filed under: uncultured bacterium
Lineage: Bacteria
Description: bacterial SSU rRNA
Rfam family: Bacterial small subunit ribosomal RNA
Source: RNAcentral
AAUAGAUACCCGGGUAGUCCACGCCGUAAACGAUGUCGACUUGGAGGUUGUUCCCUUGAGGAGUGGCUUCCGGAGCUAACGCGUUAAGUCGACCGCCUGGGGAGUACGGCCGCAAGGUUAAAACUCAAAUGAAUUGACGGGGGCCCGCACAAGCGGUGGAGCAUGUGGUUUAAUUCGAUGCAACGCGAAGAACCUUACCUACUCUUGACAUCCAGAGAACUUAGCAGAGAUGCUUUGGUGCCUUCGGGAACUCUGAGACAGGUGCUGCAUGGCUGUCGUCAGCUCGUGUUGUGAAAUGUUGGGUUAAGUCCCGCAACGAGCGCAACCCUUAUCCUUUGUUGCCAGCGGUCCGGCCGGGAACUCAAAGGAGACUGCCAGUGAUAAACUGGAGGAAGGUGGGGAUGACGUCAAGUCAUCAUGGCCCUUACGAGUAGGGCUACACACGUGCUACAAUGGCGUAUACAAAGAGAAGCGACCUCGCGAGAGCAAGCGGACCUCAUAAAGUCGUCGUAGUCCGGAUUGGAGU